Molecule: long non-coding RNA, 608 nt
Organism: Sapajus apella (tufted capuchin)
Lineage: Eukaryota; Metazoa; Chordata; Mammalia; Primates; Cebidae
Exons: 2
Source: RefSeq, a predicted model, not a curated record
CCACCCCCCUUGGCCUCCCAAAGUGCUGGGAUUAUAGGCAUGAGCCACCACACCCAGCCAGUCUCUGGGUUUUAACUCCUGCUUACCCAUUCAACUCUUUUGUGAAAACCUCGUCAACAAGAAUAAACUGCUGUAAUGAGGUUAACAUUUGUGUGUCACCACAAAGUAAUCCCACCCCGGUAAGGAAGUAAAUCAACAGAUUCAAAAAGCCUGGACUUGAAGAUAAUUUACAGGAUUAACAGAAAGCUAGAAAGAGCCAAAAUAUUCAGAAAUAGGACCGCAGUUAGUAAAUUACAGUAAAUUACCCUCCAUCAAUAUAAUGGACCACUAGGCUGACCUUAAUAAGAAUAAUUAUGAGGAAGCUAUUGGACCAACUAAAUGGCAUCACAUGACCCUGGGCCUUUGCAGCCAAGGUGUUUGGAACACCAGCUUUGGGAUUCAUUUUCUUGUUUGGUUUUGUUUUGUAGAAAUGAGGUUUCAUUAUGUGGCCUAGGCUGGUUUUGAAUUCUUGGCCUCAAGCAAUGGUCCCACCUUGCCCUUCCAAAGUGCUGGCUUUGUGAUUUAUUAAUAGUAGGAGUUGGAUAAAUAACCUGAUCUCUGAGGUUAAA